GACGAACGCUGGCGGCGUGCUUAACACAUGCAAGUCGAACGGUGAAGCGCCUUCCUUUUUGGUGGGAGUGGAUGCGUGGCGGAGGGGUGAAUAACACGAGAGUAACCUGCCCCCUUCUUCUGGAUAACCGCAUGAAAGUGUGUCUAAUACGGGAUAUUCUGGGUCUUUCGCAUGAUGGGUCUGGGAAAGCUAUUGUUUCGGUGGGGGAUGGGGUCGCGGCCUAUCAGCUUGUUGGUGGGGUGAUGGCCUACCAAGGCGGUGACGGGUAGCCGGCCUGGGAGGGUGGACGGCAACAGUGGGAAGGCGGCAACGCGCAGACUGCGACAGGGGGCAGAAGUGGAGAGUAGGCAACAGUGGGGAGAAGUCUGAUGCAGCGGCGCGGCGGGAGUGAUGGAGGCCUGCGGGUUGUGAACCGCUUUCGGCAGUGAAGCAGGCCUGCCUCGGUUGUGGGGAGGUUGACGGUAGCUGGAGAAGAAGCGCCGGCUAACUACGUG
Molecule: ribosomal RNA, 494 nt
Filed under: uncultured bacterium
Lineage: Bacteria
Description: partial 16S ribosomal RNA
Rfam family: Bacterial small subunit ribosomal RNA
Source: RNAcentral